UAGAGAGAGAUUGUUAAUGAAAAAAUAAUUCAGAGAUUGAUAGUUUUUUUAAAAAAAAAUAAAAAUGGAAAUUGGAGAUUGAAAAAUAAAAAUAAAAAUGGAAAAUUAAAAUUGAUGGAAUAAAAUAAAAUAAAAUAAAAUACAGUCCAAAUCAAUCAAGAAUCACACAAAUAGAAUAGCUUAAACCGUGAGUCCCCAGCAACGACGC
Molecule: long non-coding RNA, 208 nt
Filed under: Vigna radiata
Lineage: Eukaryota; Viridiplantae; Streptophyta; Magnoliopsida; Fabales; Fabaceae
Description: long non-coding RNA (VRAD_LNC008512)
Source: RNAcentral